AUUGAACGCUGGCGGCAUGCCUUACACAUGCAAGUCGAACGGCAGCACGGGAGCAAUCCUGGUGGCGAGUGGCGAACGGGUGAGUAAAGUAUCGGAACGUGCCCAGUCGUGGGGGAUAACGUAGCGAAAGUUACGCUAAUACCGCAUACGAUCUAUGGAUGAAAGCGGGGGAGCUGAAGACCUCGCGCGAUUGGAGCGGCCGAUAUCAGAGUAGGUAGUUGGUGGGGUAAAGGCUCACCAAGCCGACGAUCUGUAGCUGGUCUGAGAGGACGACCAGCCACACUGGGACUGAGACACGGCCCAGACUCCUACGGGAGGCAGCAGUGGGGAAUUUUGGACAAUGGGCGAAAGCCUGAUCCAGCCAUGCCGCGUGCAGGAUGAAGGCCUUCGGGUUGUAAACUGCUUUUGUACGGAACGAAAAGGUUUGGGCUAAUAAGCUGAGCUCAUGACGGUACCGUAAGAAUAAGCACCGGCUAACUACGUGCCAGCCGCCGCAGUAA
This 500-nucleotide ribosomal RNA is filed under the name uncultured bacterium. Its description in RNAcentral is "partial 16S ribosomal RNA". It matches the Rfam family "Bacterial small subunit ribosomal RNA", at positions 30 to 523 of the family's 1533-position model. The record is from RNAcentral.